RNAcentral lists this unclassified non-coding RNA (348 nucleotides) under soil metagenome. Its description in RNAcentral is "partial contains 5.8S ribosomal RNA, internal transcribed spacer 2, and large subunit ribosomal RNA". The stretch from base 1 to 120 matches the Rfam family "5.8S ribosomal RNA", at positions 35 to 154 of the family's 154-position model. The record is from RNAcentral.
GAUGAAGAACGUAGCUAACUGCGAUAAGUAAUGUGAAUUGCAGAAUUCAGUGAAUCAUCGAAUCUUUGAACGCACAUUGCGCCCGCUGGUAUUCCGGCGGGCAUGCCUGUUCGAGCGUCAUUUCAACCCUCAAGCCCCCGGGUUUGGUGUUGGGGAUCGGCUCUGCCCUUCUGGGCGGUGCCGCCCCCGAAAUACAUUGGCGGUCUCGCUGCAGCCUCCAUUGCGUAGUAGCUAACACCUCGCAACUGGAACGCGGCGCGGCCAUGCCGUAAAACCCCAACUUCUGAAUGUUGACCUCGGAUCAGGUAGGAAUACCCGCUGAACUUAAGCAUAUCAAUAAGCGGAGGA